AUUAUGACGUCACAGUUGUUAUGUUCUGUCGGUAGUGAGACAGCUGACAUCUCCGGAGAAGUUCAAAGUUCAAGAUCCACCCAAGAGUGAAAGAGUGCAAAAUCAGGUCAAGAAUGACUCCAACUAUGUCUACAACCAUCGGAUCUACACUGAACAUGACAAAGGCCUCCCCACGUAUCCCUCACACUUCCAGGUGGCCAAGUACUCUGUUUAUGCUUUGCCUACGGAUGUGCCCAGCAGUUGGUGUGUGCUGGAGCUACAAAGUGCUAGAGGAGAGGAAGGCCAGGUGUUCCGGAUUGUGCGCUCCAUGAAACAGAGGACAUUGGUGCGAGACCAGCUGGUGUUCUGCUGCUGCUCUGAGGAUGCCCUGGAGGUGUACCAGCAGUUGCAGGACCAGCUCAAAGCCGCCCACUUCCAGCUGAAGAAGGGCCCGCCCCCCCAGUAUGAGUGCCUGGGCUCUCUCAGCCUGAAGCAGGUGAGUUCCCCCCCCCUCACUGG
Long non-coding RNA from Clupea harengus (Atlantic herring), 498 nucleotides. RefSeq lists it as uncharacterized. The transcript is spliced from 4 exons. NCBI's taxonomy places the organism in Eukaryota, Metazoa, Chordata, Actinopteri, Clupeiformes, Clupeidae. The record is from RefSeq and is a predicted model, not a curated record.